UACGGAGGGGGCUAGCGUUGUUCGGAAUUACUGGGCGUAAAGCGCGCGUAGGCGGACCUGCAAGUCGGGGGUGAAAGCCCGAGGCUCAACCUCGGAACUGCCUUCGAUACUGCGGGUCUCGAGUCCGGGAGAGGUGAGUGGAAUUCCUAGUGUAGAGGUGAAAUUCGUAGAUAUUAGGAAGAACACCAGUGGCGAAGGCGGCUCACUGGCCCGGUACUGACGCUGAGACGCGAAAGCGUGGGGGGCGAACAGG
RNAcentral lists this ribosomal RNA (253 nucleotides) under uncultured bacterium. Its description in RNAcentral is "partial 16S ribosomal RNA". It matches the Rfam family "Bacterial small subunit ribosomal RNA", at positions 524 to 776 of the family's 1533-position model. The record is from RNAcentral.